GCGCAACGGUUGUUCCGAGUUUUCUUUUUUUCAACUUGUUAUUUCGUAUUUCGCAUUUCACUCAGUUUUGCAAUUGGCCGUAUCGAACCUGAAAGGGAUCGGGUGCCAUUAAACACUAAGAAGAAGAAGAAGUAAAUAUAAACUGGAUAACAUCGUAAAGGAUGAAUAUUAUUUAUCGUUUCUAGAUGUGAUAUAAUAUAAAGUUUGUAACGAACGAAUUGCAUAAAACAACCAUGAAUCCCGCGGAAGCUGAAAACAUUGCUGACUUGGUUCAGAAUAUGAUUAUUUCUUUGUGCGGUGAACAAAAACCAGAAUUAAUCAGAAGAUUUAUGCGCUUUUCUCUUGGAUUAUUAUCGUCCACUCAAGGCAUAGAAAUAUUAAGAGAGGAUGAAGUAACCGUAGCGACAUGUAUAAAGAGCAAAUUAUCACCACACGAUGCAGUGCAAUUCGAUAAACUACAUAAUGACUUAAAAGAUAGGCUCCUGAAGAAUCGUACAAGUAUCCUGGUGUUUCUGCUAAACAUGGGCCAGUCGGCGGACCAGAUAAAGGAUAGAAUCUUUUCGUUUCCAGAUAUGAAAUUCGGUUUAAGCCCGAUCGCCUCCACCAGCGGGCAGUCGUCGCAAACAUCGUGCUCUCAGGCACAAAUCGUGUCGCUGAACACGACGGAGACGAGUUCGAGGGGAUUGCUGAUAAAUCCGAGUAAAAUAUUUAAUGAGGAAUGCAUUUCGGAGGAUGUGCUAGUUCAGGACUUGAUAUAUUCCUUUCAAAGCGUUGAGGGGAAGGUAUUGAAGCUGGAUUCGAACUAUGGCUUUCAAAUCGAUUCCAUGAUAAAGAUUAAUAGAUCUCAGAGGCAGGCCGUUCUGAGAUUGAGCGAGUUGGGGUACUUGCAUAAUGUGAUACGGAAGGGGUUGGAGAGAAUGUCGGUGGCCGGUGCGGGCAGAGUUGCCGAUAGUUUUGUCGCUGCGUUGCACAAGGAAUUGUCAGAGUAUUACAGAUUUAUAGCUAUAAUGCAAGAGGAAGUAAACAGGUCGCAAAGUCAGAUGGCCAUGUACGGAGUUACGCUGUCACAUUUACAUCUCUGGACGUGCGAUCCCUUGGAGAACCUGAAGUGGUUAGCGAGCAUAGUACGAGCUUGCCAGGGCCAGAAGGGCGGCGCAUUGGCGUCUACAGUUUACGAGUUCAGCUACCAUGGUGACGCUGUCGUAAAGAAUUUGGUGAAAAGAGUUCUGGAAAGCGUUUGCAAUCCUUUGUACAAUAUGUUGAUGAGAUGGAUUGCCGAUGGGGAGCUGGACGAUCCGUACAAAGAGUUCUUCAUUCAAGCAUGUGCUGACGUCGGCGGAGACAGAAUGUGGCACGAGAAGUACCAAGUGAGAAAUUCGAUGGUGCCAUCUUUCAUUAGUAAAGCUCAGGCGAAGAAGAUUCUUGGGACUGGAAAAAAUAUCAACUUCUUGCGUGAAGUUUGCAAAGACUUCUCGCCGUGGCAAGACAGGCACGCGGAUAUGUUCAGAAAUAGCGAGGAGGAAUAUAAUGUUGAAGUUUUCUUCGACAUGGAUCCAGACAGUCGCUUGCAGACUAUGAUGGAUGCCGCUUACAAGGAAACUUCAACGAGAGUCGUCGAGAUCCUGACGAAGCAGUAUCAUCUAAUGGAUCACUUGCAGGGAAUCAAAGGAUACCUCUUACUUGGUCAGGGUCACUUCAUUCAACAUCUUAUGCACCUGCUGGAACCUGAACUAGCGAAACCAGCGAGUUCUUUGUACCCUCACAACAUAUCAUCGAUACUUGAAACUGCAAUAAGAGCAACCAGUACAAAAUUGGAUGACUUGGACGUACAGAAACGCUUAGACGUCAGAUUACUCGCCCCUUCGGAAAGCGAGACGGGAUGGGACGUUUUCAUUUUGGAUUAUAAUAUCGAUGGCCCCAUUGGCACGAUUUUGGAGCCAUGCAGGCAAACGUAUCAAACGGUGUUCUUCGCGUUGUGGCGAGCGAAGAGGAUGGAGUCGAUCUUGUCCGCCAUUUGGAAGCAACAGACAACGUCGGCCAAGAUGUUUAGGAAGAUGCCGGAGGUAUUGCCGAUCCAGAAUCACAUUCAUCUGAUUACCAGCAGCAUGGUUCAUCUGGUUCAUCAGAUGCAGUAUUACUUUUUAUUUGAGGUAAUCGAAUGUUCCUGGGAUACGUUUGCGAAGCAACUCCUGCAGGCGACGUCCCUCGAUGAUAUAAUUGCGGCUCACAACCACUUUGUAGACUCCGUGAGAUACGGCACGUUGUUAGACGAAAAGUCACAAGAACUUAUGGAUCAUUUGCGCUCCGUCUACAGUCCGAUCUUGGAUCUGCAAAACCUCGAGGAGACUUUCCUCGCGCGUGCCACUCAGGAGUACGAGGCGAGAGCGAGUGCUGAGAAUUUUGUGCAGUCGUACGAGCAAACGAAAAAGUGGGGCCGCACGAAUAAGAAGGAUCAGGCAGCCGUGGAACGAGAGGCGGCAUUUGCAAAAUAUUUGAAUACGCUGUCGAUACAAUUGAGACUGCUUUCGAGAACCUAUCAGGACCGUGUAAAAAAGUUUUUGCUAAUGCUUGCUUCCGCUGAAGAUGCGUCGCUGCAGUUACUCAGCGUGCGAUUAGACUUUAACGAGUAUUACAAGAGUAAGGAUAGCAGGCUAGUCGCGCCGUUAACGUAUCAGCACCGUAGGCAAAGUGAUCAUACCUUUUUCGCAUGCAAGUGACAGUCGGCAGGGGAAGACUCGUUAGAAACCUCGAGCCCGAGUCACCUUUCGAAAUGCCAUGUCCCAACCGAGCAGUACUCGCCCGACGUUAAUAACCACAAUCAUCCAAAAUGGUGACAGAUAUUCACGAUACUGUCGCCGCGAGCGACAAGAGAAGAUGUAGAACCAAUUUGCGAAACGCCGAGUUGAGUAAACGUACAUUUCGAAUAUUUUUGGAAAAA
This 2938-nucleotide unclassified non-coding RNA is filed under the name Ooceraea biroi (clonal raider ant). RNAcentral's name for it is "gamma-tubulin complex component 3 homolog, transcript variant X1". Lineage: Eukaryota; Metazoa; Arthropoda; Insecta; Hymenoptera; Formicidae. The record is from RNAcentral.